Molecule: ribosomal RNA, 428 nt
Filed under: uncultured bacterium
Lineage: Bacteria
Description: bacterial SSU rRNA
Rfam family: Bacterial small subunit ribosomal RNA
Source: RNAcentral
UCGAGAAUUUUUCUCAAUGGGCGAAAGCCUGAAGGAGCGACGCCGCGUGGGGGAUGAAGGGCUUCGGCUCGUAAACCCCUGUCAUUUGCGAACAAACCUUUGCAUUGAACAGGUGCAAAGCUGAUAGUAGUGAAAGAGGAAGGGACGGCUAACUCUGUGCCAGCAGCCGCGGUAAUACAGAGGUCCCAAGCGUUGUUCGGAUUCACUGGGCGUAAAGGGUGCGUAGGUGGCGAGAUAAGUUUGAUGUGAAAUCUCCGGGCUUAACCUGGAAAAUGCAUUAAAAACUGUUUUGCUAGAGGUUUGGAGGGGGGACUGGAAUUCUCGGUGUAGCAGUGAAAUGCGUAGAUAUCGAGAGGAACACCAGUGGCGAAAGCGAGUCCCUGGACAACACCUGACACUGAGGCACGAAAGCUAGGGGAGCAAACAGG